GUUUAUGCGUAGGGCGCUAUGGAUUGGCUCUGUUCCAAGUUCCUUGCAACAGGACGUCACAGCCCCUGAGAAUCCCGUACGUGGUCGCAUACCUUUACCGAGUAAAGCCCCUUCGGGAAGUCGAGUUGUUUGGGAAUGCAAAUUCCUUUGGGAGGUAAAUUUCUUCUAAAGACCGAUACCGGCCAGAUACCGAUAGCGAAAGAUUAGAGUGAUUUUGAGAUGAGAGUGACUUUGGAAUGAGAGUUGUUAAGCGGGUGAGGUUGUUGAAAGGGAAUGGCGCGCUUGUUCACUUGCCUGUAGUUGCUCAGUACUGGUUUUUACCCGGUGCACUCUUCGGUGUUUGGGACUGCAUCAGUUUGGGCGGUUGGAUAAAGGUCUCUGUCAUGUACCUCCUCUCGGGGAGAUCUUAUAGGGGAGACGACAUGCAACCAGCCUGGACUGAGGUCCGCGCAUCUGCUAGGAUGCUGGCGUAA
RNAcentral lists this ribosomal RNA (473 nucleotides) under Epicoccum mezzettii. RNAcentral's name for it is "partial large subunit ribosomal RNA". It matches the Rfam family "Eukaryotic large subunit ribosomal RNA", at positions 148 to 634 of the family's 3401-position model. The record is from RNAcentral. Lineage: Eukaryota; Fungi; Ascomycota; Dothideomycetes; Pleosporales; Didymellaceae.